AUACUGCAACAAUGAAUGCGGUCAUGUUUGGGAGCUACUCAGCUACUGCAGUGUUGCAAGCUAUAUGAGUUUCAAGCACGUAAAUCGGAGGGGAGCAGAAGAACCACUUUGUUCCCCAGCCCUGCCCCCGGGUGUAUAAAUAGCCGCCUGGGUGGCUGCUGGAGUGCCUCUCAUUCCAGAGAUCUUUGGCCACCCUCUUAUCAAAACAGAAAGACUGACUUCACUCCUGCUCUCUGCCGACUGAUUUCAUGCUGGAAACAGCACAGCUUAUUGGGCUUGGCAAAGGCAGCUUUCAUCAGACCAACCUCACAACUUUCUUACCAACAGCUGGCAUAAACAGAAGAAAUGCGUCCUCUCCCAGCUCUAGUGUGGCAUCUGAUGUCCUCCCCCAAUUCUGAUGCUGAAGACCAUCAUUUUUACGUAAGGUAUGCAGGAAGACCACAGCAGGCAAUACUGCGAAAUAAAGGACCAGGCAGAAAGCA
This 482-nucleotide long non-coding RNA is filed under the name Anser cygnoides (Swan goose). Its description in RNAcentral is "lncRNA (ENSACDG00005008456.1)". Lineage: Eukaryota; Metazoa; Chordata; Aves; Anseriformes; Anatidae. The record is from RNAcentral.